GACGAACGCUGGCGGCGUGCUUAACACAUGCAAGUCGAACGGAAAGGCCCUGCUUUUGUGGGGUGCUCGAGUGGCGAACGGGUGAGUAACACGUGAGUAACCUGCCCUUGACUUUGGGAUAACUUCAGGAAACUGGGGCUAUUACCGGAUAGGAGCUCCUGCUGCAUGGUGGGGGUUGGAAAGUUUCGGCGGUUGGGGCUGGACUCGCGGCUUAUCAGCUUGUUUGUGGGGUAGUGGCUUACCAAGGCUUUGACGGGUAGCCGGCCUGGGAGGGUGACCGGCCACAUUGGGACUGAGAUACGGCCCAGACUCCUACGGGAGGCAGCAGGGGGGAAUAUUGCACAAUGGGCGGAAGCCUGAUGCAGCAACGCCGCGUGCGGGAUGACGGCCUUCGGGUUGUAAACCGCUUUCGCCUGUGACGAAGCGUGAGUGACGGUAAUGGGUAAAGAAGCACCGGCUAACUACGUG
This 468-nucleotide ribosomal RNA is filed under the name uncultured bacterium. Its description in RNAcentral is "partial 16S ribosomal RNA". It matches the Rfam family "Bacterial small subunit ribosomal RNA", at positions 28 to 507 of the family's 1533-position model. The record is from RNAcentral.